Molecule: ribosomal RNA, 534 nt
Filed under: uncultured bacterium
Lineage: Bacteria
Description: bacterial SSU rRNA
Rfam family: Bacterial small subunit ribosomal RNA
Source: RNAcentral
CGGCCUUGACAUACUAAGAACUUUCCAGAGAUGGAUUGGUGCCUUCGGGAACUUAGAUACAGGUGCUGCAUGGCUGUCGUCAGCUCGUGUCGUGAGAUGUUGGGUUAAGUCCCGNAACGAGCGCAACCCUUUUCCUUAUUUGCCAGCGGGUCAUGCCGGGAACUUUAAGGAUACUGCCAGUGACAAACUGGAGGAAGGCGGGGACGACGUCAAGUCAUCAUGGCCCUUACGGCCAGGGCUACACACGUGCUACAAUGGUCGGUACAAAGGGUUGCUACCUCGCGAGAGGAUGCUAAUCUCAAAAAGCCGAUCGUAGUCCGGAUCGCAGUCUGCAACUCGACUGCGUGAAGUCGGAAUCGCUAGUAAUCGCGGAUCAGAAUGCCGCGGUGAAUACGUUCCCGGGCCUUGUACACACCGCCCGUCACACCAUGGGAGUUUGUUGCACCAGAAGUAGGUAGUCUAACCGCAAGGAGGACGCUUACCACGGUGUGGCCGAUGACUGGGGUGAAGUCGUAACAAGGUAGGCGUAGAUGA